AUUGAACGCUGGCGGCAGGCUUAACACAUGCAAGUCGAGCGGAGAUGAGGUGCUUGCACCUUAUCUUAGCGGCGGACGGGUGAGUAAUGCUUAGGAAUCUGCCUAUUAGUGGGGGACAACAUUCCGAAAGGAAUGCUAAUACCGCAUACGUCCUACGGGAGAAAGCAGGGGAUCUUCGGACCUUGCGCUAAUAGAUGAGCCUAAGUCGGAUUAGCUAGUUGGUGGGGUAAAGGCCUACCAAGGCGACGAUCUGUAGCGGGUCUGAGAGGAUGAUCCGCCACACUGGGACUGAGACACGGCCCAGAGUCCUACGGGAAGCAGCAGUGGGGAAUAUUGGACGAUGGGGGGAACCCUGAUCCAGCCAUGCCGCGUGUGUGAAGAAGGCCUUAUGGUUGUAAAGCACUUUAAGCGAGGAGGAGGCUACUGAGACUAAUACUCUUGGAUAGUGGACGUUACUCGCAGAAUAAGCACCGGCUAACUCUGUGCCAGCCGCCGCCGUAA
RNAcentral lists this ribosomal RNA (501 nucleotides) under uncultured bacterium. RNAcentral describes it as "partial 16S ribosomal RNA". It matches the Rfam family "Bacterial small subunit ribosomal RNA", at positions 30 to 523 of the family's 1533-position model. The record is from RNAcentral.